GCUAAAAGGAACAGAUCUAUUCAGAAGGAGAUCAAAAUUCUUCUUUUUUAGUAGAUAAACAUAAAAGUGAGCUUCUCUUUCGGUCGUCACCGGCCAGAUCCUCAAUCAUCGCUGGCCAGAGGAGUAUGUCGUCGUAUCGACAUGAGCCUCCAUCGUUGCUGGCCAAAGCCCCCACCAUCACUGGCCAUAGCCUCCCUCGUUGUCGGCAUACCCAGUCUUUCUCCGAGCUCUAGCCAUGGUUAUUUGGAGAAUAUGUAUAUCAGCAUAUCACAACCUCUCUGAUUAGUGGAAAUUCCUUGUUAUGAUGUAACAACUUUGGAAGGACAUACAUCUAAGGUUUUUGGUUGUGCUUGGAGUCCAAAAGGGUCUUUUCUUGCAUAUGGGUUGGAAGCUUUUGAAGGUUUGAAGUCUAGAAGGAAGAUCUUAGGAAAGUUUUCUCUCAAGGCAAAGUAUCUCCUCAUAUAUUCGAGGGAAUAAUCCUUUUCGUAGUUUUUACUUAAAGACUUGUUAUGUAUUUUACUUUAUUGUAGAGGGCCAUGUCCCUAAGAUAUUAUGUCUAUUAUGUCGUGUCUUUAAGUUGGCUUGUGACGACGAUAUUCUCUAUGUAUUUAUGAAAGAUUGU
This is a long non-coding RNA of Solanum pennellii, 622 nucleotides long. RefSeq lists it as uncharacterized. The record is from RefSeq and is a predicted model, not a curated record. The transcript has 4 exons. NCBI's taxonomy places the organism in Eukaryota, Viridiplantae, Streptophyta, Magnoliopsida, Solanales, Solanaceae.